CGGAAGGAUCAUUAUCAUACAAUGGAGGUGCAAGGGCUGUUGCUGACCUUUCAAAGGUUCGUGCACGCCUGAGUGCUCCUAUCACACAUCCAUUUCACCCUUAUGUGCAUCAUCGCGUGGGAGGCCCACGUUUUUCUUUUUCACACAAACCUCAAAGUAGUGUAGUAGAAUGUACUUUCUUUAUUUUGCGGUGAUAUGCAAUCAAUACAACUUUCAACAACGGAUCUCUUGGCUCUCGCAUCGAUGAAGAACGCAGCGAAAUGCGAUACGUAAUGUGAAUUGCAGAAUUCAGUGAAUCAUCGAAUCUUUGAACGCACCUUGCGCCCCUUGGUAUUCCGAGGGGCACACCCGUUUGAGUGUCGUGAAAUCCUCAAAAAGCCCCUUUCUUGAUUGUUAAGAAAUGGAUUUUUGGACUUGGAGGGAUCAAUGCUCGCUGUCAGUUAUUGAAAGGGAGCUCCUCUAAAAUAAAUCAGCGGGGUUUGCUUUGCUGAUCCUUGACGUGAUAAAGUGAUUCUACGUUUUGGAUUAUAGCAUUGUCUUUUUUUAAACACCUGCUUCUAAUUGUCUUAUGGGCUUUUAGACCCACAAGAAGGAGAAAACCCUUGACCUCAAAUCGGGUGAGACUACCCGCUGAACUUAAGCAUAUCAAU
This 650-nucleotide ribosomal RNA is filed under the name Russula emetica. Its description in RNAcentral is "eukaryotic LSU rRNA". The stretch from base 209 to 362 matches the Rfam family "5.8S ribosomal RNA". The record is from RNAcentral. Lineage: Eukaryota; Fungi; Basidiomycota; Agaricomycetes; Russulales; Russulaceae.